Molecule: long non-coding RNA, 2290 nt
Organism: Triticum aestivum (bread wheat)
Lineage: Eukaryota; Viridiplantae; Streptophyta; Magnoliopsida; Poales; Poaceae
Exons: 4
Source: RefSeq, a predicted model, not a curated record
CUCUCGGGAACCCUAGCGGUCCACUCCUCCCUUGCCGCCGCCACCUUCGGCGGGAAUCGAAGACCAUGUCCGGCGAGAUCCGGCGCGCGCAGCGAGAUCCAUCUCUCUCACACACACGAUAAGGAAAAUCCCCCGCCCCAUUCCCACGACUCAUCUGCCUCUCCCUCGAUCCCCUUCCUUCCCGAGGACGCACGCGCCGCCGCCUCCCCGAUCCCCUUCUCCCCUCGCCCCCCACAUCGCGCCGCCAUCCACCUCGUCGCCUCCCAGAUUUAUCCUCCUCCUCCUCCUAUUCCCCUCGCCAGAUCCAUCCAUCCAUUCGUUUUUCCAUCCGAUCCACCUGACGCCAUCGUAUCCCCUUCUCGCUCGCAGGGUUGCAGGCGAUUCGAUCCGGUCCGGGUCCAUGGCGUCCACGGCCGUGGCGGCGCUCGUGGUGACCGACGAGCUGGCCCUGCCGCUCCGCGCGGUGGGGGACGGCGGCGGGGAAGCACGCAGCUGCGCAGCGACCGCGGGAGGUUUCAGUGAGCGGCCGCAUUGCUGCGGCAGGAGGACCAGCGCGGGCUUCCGGCAACGAGGCUCCGUCGCGUGAACCAAGACGCGGACUCUACAGGAUGGCUCUGCGGGACGCUGGCGUCAGAAGCAGCGGCCGGGGCCACGCGGUGACCCUGGGACGCCGCUGCCCGAUUCUGGCGCGAAGGCAACCUCGCGCGAAUCACGGCGGCCUUGACCAAGAAGGAGGCGUUCGUGCCGCACGGCGGCCGGUGGUGAGCGUCGGUGCUGGCGAGUUUGGGUCAGUACGUCGCGACGGCGGCGAGCCUGCUCGGCGUCCCAUGAUUGGACCUUGGAGCCACGCGAAGAGAAGGGGAUCCACUCCAAACCCAGCACAGGACAUGGUGACGAACUCACUGUUCGAGAAGAGGCCGAACCGGUUAGGCAUCGGCUGCGCGCUACCGCCCAAGAAGGACCUCCACCUGUUCGCCAAUGCCGCAUCCUCAAGCAGCGCAUCCGUGCCCAGCCGCGGUUGUUUUUGCCCAUUUAUGUUGUUGCUUUAGUAGCAUCCUUUCCUUUCUUUUAUGUAGCAGCAGAGCACCACUCUUACUAUGCACUUCUCUCCAGAUUCUGCUACAAUUACAAAUUUACAAUGCAUUCAUGCAUGAGCAGUGCAUGUGUUGGCUGUCCAUGAGAUCAGGAAUAGUAUGAGCCGUAGAGUCUUGUUCGAACUCAUUGAUGCAACAAAACUCAUUUGGAGAGCUACCUACUCAUUUGGAUGCAAUAUCAUGCUUGCUCUUUUGAAAUCGAUAAUGAUGCUCGAAAUGUUAGUCAUAUUUCCAUUGUGGAUUAGCUUCUGCCCCUCAAAUGCUAUUGACAAGUUGCAUCCCUUGACUCUGUAUUCAUGAGUAGUAUACAACCUGAGAUGUCCGAUUGUAUACAAACUGCACCUCGAAAUUGAUAUGUUCCAGUCUGUGUCUUUGAUUGUAAAUGUUUCUUCACUAUAAAAUCUUCUAUCUGUGAUAAGUGCAACUAGAAGAAUUUGUCCCAUCUAAAAUUCUGUAAUCCCUAUUAGCUGAAACUUGAGCAUUACAAAGUUUCAUUUCUAAGUUCAAUUUGUUGAUAAGCCAUCCUCCUCCUGUUUCGGUAUUUAUCGUGCAUACACAACACUUCAUGAAAAUAAACUACAUGCGAUAUACUCAAAUAGCACUAGGGUCUGGGACUAUUUUAUGGUGUUGUGGAUAUACUUUGUGAUUUACUAUUACUGAUCUGCGCUUUGGUGUCAUAUUAUGGUAUAAUAUAUUUUGUUUUGGCUCUUUCUCUGUUGGCAGGAAAGUGGUGAGGAGAUGUUGAUGAUGCCUACUUGCUUGGCUGCUACGGUGAUGCAUGCACCGAUGAAGCAAGCACACAUGCAAGGCUGGCCCCAUGUAUCUUCCUUGGCUGCGGACAUCAUCUACAGGAUAGCAGUAUGACCAAGACAAGCUACAAGCUCCCAGCGCGUCUGAUCCAGGGUGAAUGGCCAUGGUCACGAGCUCCUCAGGAUCAAAAUAGGAUGGCAAGUUGUGGCAGUUGGAGCAUGUCGCAUAAGAGAGAGCAAUGAAAUCCAUUGUACUGUUCUGUUAAAAAAAGUACAUUAUGCUGUUAUGAUAGUAGCAGAUGUGCCAUCUUUCUUAUUAUAUAGUCCUGUGUAAGGAAAUGUAUUCCUGAGAUGAUUUUUGUGUUAUGUAAACCUGGGAGAUAUUUUCUUUUUGUGUGAUGUAAACCUAGGAGUUUUCCUAAUUUGAAUGAAAUAAUGUUGGAUGUA